UACGAGGGGUGCAAGCGUUGCUCGGAAUUAUUGGGCGUAAAGGGUAGGUAGGUGGUCUCAUUUGUCUAGGGUGAAAGCCUUGAGCUUAACUCAAGAAGUGCCCUAGAAACGGUGAGACUGGAGUCUUGGAGAGGGUCGUGGAAUUCUCGGUGUAGCGGUGAAAUGCGCAGAUAUCAGGAGGAACACCGGUGGCGAAGGCGGGUCUCUGGGCCGAUACUGACGCUGAGGAGCGAAAGCGUGGGGAGCGAACAGG
Molecule: ribosomal RNA, 253 nt
Filed under: uncultured bacterium
Lineage: Bacteria
Description: partial 16S ribosomal RNA
Rfam family: Bacterial small subunit ribosomal RNA
Source: RNAcentral